CUCAGUCGAUAAAAAAGUUGACUUUUAAUCGAUUGGUGUAGGUUUGAGCCGAACAAAGCAAGACAACAACGCAUAAGCGUUGGCCCGAAGGGUGAGGCCGGAGGCCGAAUCAUCCUGCACGAUUCACCA
Regulatory RNA element from Xenorhabdus innexi, 129 nucleotides. It matches the Rfam family "RtT RNA". From Rfam's summary of the family: This family represents a bacterial cis-regulatory element known as RtT RNA. The exact function of RtT is unknown although it is thought that it may be involved in changing the cellular response in relation to amino acid starvation. NCBI's taxonomy places the organism in Bacteria, Pseudomonadati, Pseudomonadota, Gammaproteobacteria, Enterobacterales, Morganellaceae. The record is from Rfam.